This 582-nucleotide ribosomal RNA is filed under the name uncultured bacterium. Its description in RNAcentral is "bacterial SSU rRNA". It matches the Rfam family "Bacterial small subunit ribosomal RNA", at positions 163 to 774 of the family's 1533-position model. The record is from RNAcentral.
ACAAUACCGCAUACGCUCGCAAGAGCAAAGCCGGAAACGGCGCCCGAGGAUGAGCCUGCGCUCGAUUAGUUGGUUGGUGGGGUAAUGGCCUACCAAGGCGACGAUCGGUAGCUGGUCUGAGAGGACGAUCAGCCACACUGGGAUUGAGAACGGACCAGACUCCUACGGGGGGCAGCAGUGAGGAAUUUUCGGCAAUGGGGGCAACCCUGACCGAGCAACGCCGCGUGCAGGAUGAAGUAUUUCGGAUCGUAAACUGCUUUUCUUGGGGACGAGAGUGGACGGUACCCAAGGAAUCAGCCCCGGCUAACUACGUGCCAGCAGCCGCGGUAAUACGAAGGGGGCUAGACGUUGCUCGGAUUGACUGGGCGUAAAGGGCGCGUAGGCGGUUUGCACAGUCAGACGUGAAAUUCCUGGGCUCAACCUGGGGUCUGCGUUUGAUACGUGUAGACUUGAGUAAGGAAGAGGGUCGUGGAAUUCCCAGUGUAGAGGUGAAAUUCGUAGAUAUUGGGAAGAACACCGGUGGCGAAGGCGGCGACCUGGUCCGAUACUGACGCUGAGGCGCGAAAGCGUGGGGAGCAAACA